UGGGCUGGACGUAUCACAAGUGCGAAUGCUGACAUAAGUAACGAUAAAACGGGUGAAAAACCCGUUCGCCGGAAGACCAAGGGUUCCUGUCCAACGUUAAUCGGGGCAGGGUAAGUCGGCUCCUAAGGCGAGGCUGAAAAGCGUAGUCGAUGGGAAACAGGUUAAUAUUCCUGUACUUGGUAAAGCUGCGAUGUGGGGACGGAGUAGGUUAGGUUAUCGCACUGUUGGAUAUGUGCGUUUAAGUUGGUAGGUGGGAAGUUUAGGCAAAUCCGGACUUCCUUAACACAGAGAGAUGAUGACGAGGCUCUACGGAGCUGAAGUAACUGAUACCACACUUCCAGGAAAAGCCACUAAGCGAAAGGCUUUACUAAACCGUACUGAAAACCGACACAGGUGGUCAGGUAGAGAAUACUCAGGCGCUUGAGAGAACUCGGGUGAAGGAACUAGGCAAAAUAGCACCGUAACUUCGGGAGAAGGUGCGCCGGCGUAGAUUGUAAGGGCUAGCCCCUGAAGGUUGAACCGGUCGAAGUGACCAGCUGGCUGCAACUGUUUAUUAAAAACACAGCACUCUGCAAACACGAAAGUGGAGGUAUAGGGUGUGAUGCCUGCCCGGUGCUGGAAGGUUAAUUGAUGGUGUCAUCGCAAGAGAAGCACCUGAUCGAAGCCCCAGUAAACGGCGGCCGUAACUAUAACGGUCCUAAGGUAGCGAAAUUCCUUGUCGGGUAAGUUCCGACCUGCACGAAUGGCAUAAUGAUGGCCAGGCUGUCUCCACCCGAGACUCAGUGAAAUUGAAAUCGCCGUGAAGAUGCGGUGUACCCGCGGCUAGACGGAAAGACCCCGUGAACCUUUACUAUAGCUUGACACUGAACAUUGAAUUUUGAUGUGUAGGAUAGGUGGGAGACUAAGAAGAUGAUACGCCAGUAUUGUUGGAGUCGACCUUGAAAUACCACCCUUUAACGUUUGAUGUUCUAACGAAGAUUGCGGAACGUGGUCUCGGACAGUGUCUGGUGGGUAGUUUGACUGGGGCGGUCUCCUCCCAAAGCGUAACGGAGGAGCACGAAGGUUUGCUAAUCACGGUCGGACAUCGUGAGGUUAGUGCAAUGGUAUAAGCAAGCUUAACUGCGAGACAGACAAGUCGAGCAGGUACGAAAGUAGGUCAUAGUGAUCCGGUGGUUCUGAAUGGAAGGGCCAUCGCUCAACGGAUAAAAGGUACUCCGGGGAUAACAGGCUGAUACCGCCCAAGAGUUCAUAUCGACGGCGGUGUUUGGCACCUCGAUGUCGGCUCAUCACAUCCUGGGGCUGAAGUAGGUCCCAAGGGUAUGGCUGUUCGCCAUUUAAAGUGGUACGCGAGCUGGGUUUAGAACGUCGUGAGACAGUUCGGUCCCUAUCUGCCGUGGGCGUAGGAGAAUUGUUGGGGCUGCUCCUAGUACGAGAGGACCGGAGUGGACG
This 1449-nucleotide ribosomal RNA is filed under the name Haemophilus aegyptius ATCC 11116. Its description in RNAcentral is "bacterial LSU rRNA". It matches the Rfam family "Bacterial large subunit ribosomal RNA", at positions 1269 to 2703 of the family's 2925-position model. The record is from RNAcentral. Lineage: Bacteria; Pseudomonadati; Pseudomonadota; Gammaproteobacteria; Pasteurellales; Pasteurellaceae.